GUGUGUGUGUGUGUGAGAGAGCGAUGGGGAGUGGGAGGGGGAGCACAGUGUGUAAGAAGUGUGUGACAAAGAGAGCGAGUGUGUGUGUGUGUGUGUGUGUGUGUGUGUGUGUGUGUCCAUGUAGUAUUGAGUGAGUGAGUGUGUGUGGUUGGUGAGUUUGUGUGGUUGAGAGAAUGAGUAAGUGUGUGUGUUUGUGUGUGUGUGCGUGUGUUGGGAAGACAGGGUGUGUUUGAGAGAAGGGAAAAUGUGUUUUCUACAGUGUGUGUCUGCACUUGUAUGUGUGUGAAAGAGAAACUAAUAAUGUGCAUGUGGAAAAAGAGAACGGGGAAUAAAGGUGUUUGCUGUAAGAGAGAGAGAGAGAGAGAGAGGUACUGUGAAGGACGUGUGUGUGUACGUGAGAAGGAGCAUAUAAAAAGUGUGUGUGUGUGUGUGUGUGUGUGUGUGUGUGUGUGGGAGAGUGUGUUUGCGCAUACGUGUGUGUUAGAGUGGGGGAGGGAAUGUGUUUGUUUGUGUGUGUGUGUGUGUGUCUGUCUGUGUGCAUGCGUGUGCACGCAAAGGAGAGAGAGAAACCGUGUUUAUGUGUAACCAAGUAGUGUGGUGGUUCAGUGUGUGUUAAAGGGGAUGGUAAUCAAAUGUGUGAUGGGUAAAGAGAGAGAGAUUGUGUGGGAUUUGGUUGUGUUAAUUAAUUAUAUCUAUACGUGUGUGUGUGUGUGUGUAUACAUGUGUAUGUCAGUGCGUGUAUUUAAGUCAUAAAAUGACAUGUCUGGCGUGACGGAGAUGAUGCUGUAGAAACAAUGCAGAAAGUGGUGAGGGAAGGGUGCGUGUCUGUCUUUAAGAAACUGAGAGACGUGUGUGUGUGUGUGUGUGUGAGGGGGGGGGGUUGUGACGAACACAGUAGGGGAGGUUGUGUGUGUGUGUGUGUGUGUGUGUGUGUGUGAAAGAGAAGAGGAUGGAGGGUGUGUACUGCAGAGAGAUAGAAAAAGAGCACAGAGUGUGUAUGUGUUUAAGAACGGGUGAGAGAAGAGAAGGGAGUGUGUGACGGAGGGUGAGGAUGAACAGACACAAGGUUUGUGUGCGUGUAUAUCUGUGUGUAUGUGUGUGGCUUCUAGACAAGGGCAGUGUGUUUGUCAUACAGAGGGAAGGAGAGAGUGUUUACGCAUCUACUUUGUUUAUGAAAGAGGAAAGGACAGUGUGUGUGUGUGUGUGUGUGUGUGUGUGUGCGUGCAACUGCUCAAAGCAAAAGCAUGUUUGUGCGUAUGUGCACAUUGUGUGUGGGUGGUACGAUAUAUGUGAGACGUGGAGGGGGGGGGGCUCUGUGUGUCUGUAUCUGUUUUAUUAUUGAG
Long non-coding RNA from Gasterosteus aculeatus aculeatus (three-spined stickleback), 1343 nucleotides. The record is from Ensembl. NCBI's taxonomy places the organism in Eukaryota, Metazoa, Chordata, Actinopteri, Perciformes, Gasterosteidae.